GUGGGGAAUAUUCCGCAAUGGACGAAAGUCUGACGGAGCAACGCCGCGUGAGUGAUGAAGGUUUUCGGACUGUAAAGCUCUGUUAAUCGGGACGAAAGAGCCUAGUGUGAAUAAUGCUAGGAAGUGACGGUACCGGAAUAGAAAGCCACGGCUAACUACGUGCCAGCAGCCGCGGUAAUACGUAGGUGGCAAGCGUUGUCCGGAAUUAUUGGGCGUAAAGCGCGCGCAGGCGGAUCUGCCAGUCUGUCUUAAAAGUUCGGGGCUUAACCCCGUGAUGGGAUGGAAACUACAGAUCUAGAGUAUCGGAGAGGAAAGUGGAAUUCCUAGUGUAGCGGUGAAAUGCGUAGAUAUUAGGAAGAACACCAGUGGCGAAGGCGACUUUCUGGACGAAAACUGACGCUGAGGCGCGAAAGCCAGGGGAGCGAACGGGAUUAGAUACCCGAGUAGUCC
This 450-nucleotide ribosomal RNA is filed under the name uncultured bacterium. Its description in RNAcentral is "partial 16S ribosomal RNA". It matches the Rfam family "Bacterial small subunit ribosomal RNA", at positions 354 to 796 of the family's 1533-position model. The record is from RNAcentral.